AAUGGGCGCAGCCUGAUACCAGCCCAUGCCGGUGUGUGAAGAAGGCCUUCGGGUUGUAAAGNACUUUUGUCCGGGAGCAAAUGCCCAGGUGCUAAUACCAUUGGCGGCUGAGAGUACCGGAAGAAUAAGCACCGUCUAACUAC
RNAcentral lists this ribosomal RNA (143 nucleotides) under uncultured beta proteobacterium. RNAcentral describes it as "partial 16S ribosomal RNA". It matches the Rfam family "Bacterial small subunit ribosomal RNA", at positions 370 to 504 of the family's 1533-position model. The record is from RNAcentral. Lineage: Bacteria; Pseudomonadati; Pseudomonadota; Betaproteobacteria.